GAAACGCGAUAGUUAAUGUGAAUUGCAGAAUUCAGUGAAUCAUCGAAUCUUUGAACGCACAUUGCGCCCGCCAGUAUUCUGGCGGGCAUGCCUGUCCGAGCGUCAUUUCAACCAUCAAGCCCCCGGGCUUGUGUUGGGGACCUGCGGCUGCCCGCAGGCCCUGAAAACCAGUGGCGGGCUCGCUGUCACACCGAGCGUAGUAGCAAUCACCUCGCUCAGGGCGUGCUGCGGGUUCCGGCCGUUAAACAGCCUUACAAAACCCAAGGUUGACCUCGGAUCAGGUAGGAAGACCCGCUGAACUUAAGC
This 306-nucleotide unclassified non-coding RNA is filed under the name plant metagenome. RNAcentral's name for it is "partial contains 5.8S ribosomal RNA, internal transcribed spacer 2, and large subunit ribosomal RNA". The stretch from base 1 to 105 matches the Rfam family "5.8S ribosomal RNA", at positions 50 to 154 of the family's 154-position model. The record is from RNAcentral.